This 482-nucleotide ribosomal RNA is filed under the name uncultured bacterium. Its description in RNAcentral is "partial 16S ribosomal RNA". It matches the Rfam family "Bacterial small subunit ribosomal RNA", at positions 29 to 507 of the family's 1533-position model. The record is from RNAcentral.
AUGAACGCUGGCGGCGUGCCUAACACAUGCAAGUCGAACGGAGUCGUUUUGGAAAUCUCUUCGGAGAUGGAAUUCUCGACUUAGUGGCGGACGGGUGAGUAACGCGUGAGCAAUCUGCCUUUAAGAGGGGGAUAACAGUCGGAAACGGCUGCUAAUACCGCAUAAAGCAUUAAAUUCGCAUGUUUUUGAUGCCAAAGGAGCAAUCCGCUUUUAGAUGAGCUCGCGUCUGAUUAGCUAGUUGGCGGGGCAACGGCCCACCAAGGCGACGAUCAGUAGCCGGACUGAGAGGUUGAACGGCCACAUUGGGACUGAGACACGGCCCAGACUCCUACGGGAGGCAGCAGUGGGGAAUAUUGCGCAAUGGGGGAAACCCUGACGCAGCAACGCCGUGUGAUUGAAGAAGGCCUUCGGGUUGUAAAGAUCUUUAAUCAGGGACGAAACAAAUGACGGUACCUGAAGAAUAAGCUCCGGCUAACUACGUG